Long non-coding RNA from Wyeomyia smithii (pitcher-plant mosquito), 1383 nucleotides. RefSeq lists it as uncharacterized. Lineage: Eukaryota; Metazoa; Arthropoda; Insecta; Diptera; Culicidae. The record is from RefSeq and is a predicted model, not a curated record. The transcript has 2 exons.
UAGACGAACUAAACAACACCAAUAGUCUUGCAAUUUCUUCUAUCUGUUCUCAAAUUAUGCAUUUGUGAAGAAACAUUUCCCUUUAAUAUAUAAAGAUAAUUAUAUUAUAUUUUUUUUUUUUUUUUUUUUUUUUUUUUUCUUUCCCUCUAAGCGUAGUUCCUAAUUAUGCCUUGACCACUCUUUAUUGCCGUUUGUGUUUCAACCGUGAAAAUUAAUUUUGGACUUUUAUUUUUUUCAUUACUGGCUCAAUGUGCCAUUUGUUUGACGGUCAAGGUCUCGCGUAGCUACUAAGCUUUGCAAUUAUUGACGUAGGUCAUGAUGAAGCUUUAGUUUUCUUCUUCCCACUUUUGUUCGCAAUAAUCGCAUACUCAUAUGCGUUCCGCGAUUAUUGCUGUAUCGGAGACGUGAUUAAUCCUAUACAAUUGGCGAUGCCUGUCAUCAGUGGAUUAAUAUUUGUGUCAUCAUCUAUCUUGUCAUCUUGUCACUUGUCAUCUUUUGUGAUAUUUAGCUGUAAAAGUUAAAUUCAUGUAAUGAUGUGAAAUAACAAAAAUUUGAUCAUGUAUUAGUAAACUAAAAGAGAGAGAGAAAAAAAAAAAAACGUUCCUGUUUCGAACCUUAGAUCCUCUGAUCUUUGGUUUCGCUGUUUACUUUGAGUCCAGUUGUGAGGAACUCGAAUGAAAAGGUAUUUUAUUGAUGUUAUUUUAUGUGAUCAACUCACGUGUUUGACCCACUGUGAGUUGAUAUAUUUUUAGGUUUCCAUUCCAAUUGGAAAAUUUUCGAUGGACUUGAUUCACUGGUAUGUGUGAAACCGUGUCAAUCGACUAAUAAAAAUGCAAUUAUGCAUUAUUGAUUGUCGUCAUUCUUAAUUUGUUUCGGUAUGGGCAGUACGGGUCGGUACCCCUGGUUUUUUUAGUUUGAUUUGUUCAUUAAAUUAAAAAAAAAUUCUGAGGUUAUCUUAGUGGCGUGUGACUAGCCACGGAUUAGAAUGUAGUGUCGUAGUAGUGGAAUAUUCUGUGCCAGAAAGUGGAAUAUUCUGUGCCAGAAUAGUGUGGUGAACAGUCCGCUAUGGCGGUGAGGUUGGAUGGGUUGAAUCCUGUUGCUGGUUCCAGUGCCCUGUGAGCUGCUCCCUGUCCGUGGGAUCUAUUGCGAUUGGAUUUCGAAAACUUGAAUUCGCGUAACACUGGUCAACAGUCGAUCUCGGAUUGUUAUUAUUGUUCCUCUAACACUUUCACUGUUUCUUCUUCUAAUCCUUUUUAUUUGUUCUUUUAGGUUUCGACCAUCUUCGAGGAGGAGCCCUUAGAAAUAUUGGACUUGCACGUUUCGUGGCAUUCACUUUCGUUGAUUUGGGUCUGUUUUUCCGAUACGUCAAAGUCACUUAAGCAC